CGUGUAGGCGGCCGAAUAAGUCGGGCGUGAAAGCCCUGGGCUUAACCCAGGAAGUGCGUUCGAUACUGUUUGGCUUGAGUACGGGAGAGGGUAGUGGAAUUCCCGGUGUAGAGGUGAAAUUCGUAGAUAUCGGGAGGAACACCAGUGGCGAAGGCGGCUACCUGGACCGAUACUGACGCUGAGACGCGAAAGCGUGGGGAGCAAACAGGAUUAGAUACCCUGGUAGUC
Molecule: ribosomal RNA, 228 nt
Filed under: uncultured bacterium
Lineage: Bacteria
Description: partial 16S ribosomal RNA
Rfam family: Bacterial small subunit ribosomal RNA
Source: RNAcentral